Molecule: long non-coding RNA, 12984 nt
Filed under: Arabidopsis lyrata
Lineage: Eukaryota; Viridiplantae; Streptophyta; Magnoliopsida; Brassicales; Brassicaceae
Description: long non-coding RNA (ALYR_LNC001095)
Source: RNAcentral
UUUUGUGAAUGGUAAGUUCUGCAAGGAUCCGAAGCAAGCGAAGGCAGAAGAUUUCUUCUACUCAGGCCUCAACCAGGCAGGGACCACUAAUAAUAGAGUCAAAUCCAACGUGACAACGGUCAAUGUCGACCAGAUUCCAGGGUUAAACACUUUGGGAAUAUCCUUGGUCCGCAUAGACUAUGCACCUUAUGGACAAAACCCACCUCACACGCACCCUCGUGCCACUGAGAUCCUUGUUCUUGUCGAGGGAACAUUAUAUGUUGGUUUUGUUUCUUCCAAUCAAGACAAUAACCGUUUAUUCGCCAAAGUGCUGAACCCCGGCGACGUGUUCGUGUUCCCCAUAGGAAUGAUCCAUUUUCAAGUGAAUAUCGGGAAGACCCCAGCAGUGGCUUUUGCUGGACUAAGUAGUCAGAACGCUGGUGUUAUCACGAUCGCAGACACUGUGUUCGGGUCAACGCCCCCGAUUAAUCCAGAUAUUCUCGCUCAGGCGUUUCAGUUAGAUGUCAAUGUUGUCAAGGAUCUUGAAGCGAAGUUUAAAAACUAAAUCUAGUCACCAACAAUACGAGUGUUUAUUGUUUUAACACUUAAGUAAUGAUGUAUCACGAAUUAAAGAUUUAUGCUUAAUAAAAUAAAAAGGUGUUUAUCACCUGAUUUGAUAUUUAAUAUUAAAUUUCCUUUUCCUAUAUAUGAUUCUGUCUUACAACUUUUUAAAUGUCGGGGUAUUAAAAUUUUCUUGGAUAUUCAAUAAGUCUUUAAGAGUUGUUAGAAUAAUUAAAAAUAAAAAAAAUGUACAAGCCAUCAGAUUAUCUAUAUUUCUUAUAUAAUAAAGUAAAGUUUCUUGAAAAUGAGUUUUAAGAAGCUCACAUUUGGCGCUUGUUUCAUAUUCACUAUAUAUAUUUCUAGACAGUCGCCUAAAUAUUUAUCAUUAUUUGCAAAAUUUUAAUAAAAAACAAAUUGAAAAAAUAUUAUUUGACAUUAUCUAUAUGCAAUCAAAAUCACAAUAAAGUAAAAAGCCUCCAUGAAUUAUUUAACAUUAUAAAUUAAUCAUAAAUUAUUUUGAUUUUGGAUUCCUCCUUUCUUAUAUAAUAAAGUAAGGUUUCUUGAACUGAGCUUUAAAAAGCUGACAUUUGGUACUCUAUUCUUUUGACACGUGUCUUUUUAAUAAUUUUAGUGUAAGAGAUCUAUUCAAUAAAUUAUUUUACAAAACUUUAUUGUUUCAUAUUCACUAUAUAUACUUCUACACAGUCACCUAAAUAAUUAUCAUUAUUUGCAAAAUAUUAGUAGAAAAACAAAUCGAAAAAAUAUUAUUUGACAUUAACUAUAUGCAAUUAAAAUCACAAUAAAGUAAAAAGCCUCCAUGAAUUAUUUAACAUUAUAAAUUAACCAUAAAUAAUUUUGAUUUUGGAUUCCGCCUUUAUAAAAGUUAAGAUAACUCGAUACAAUAGUAAAAAGUUAUAUAAAAAAUAUAUGGUUCUACUGAUAGCAUAAAUAAACAAUUAUUAAAUUUAUACAAAUAGUUAACAUAAUUUAUUGAUAUAUAUAUAUAUAUAUAUAUAUAUAUAUAUAUAUAUAUAUAUAUAUAUAUAUAGAUUGAUAUAUGCUUCUAAUGUUGUUUGCCUUUUCUUAUAUAUUAUUUUCUUAAUUUUGUUUUACUGUAUUACACAUUUUGUAGUGUUUUUUUUUUUUUUUUUUUUUUUGCUCAAAACAUUUUGUAGUGUUAUGUUUUCAAAUUGUCCAAACAAUAGUAAAUAGUUUUAGGCACUCUAAUUAUUUUUCACUCAUAUAAUAUAAGAAACUAUUAAUAUAUUGUUUAUGAUAAUUGAGAUUACUAAUCAUAUUCAUCACCGUAAAUUUGUGAAUGUCAGUUUAAGAAUUUAACUCAUCUAAAAGUAACAUUGCAUUAACAAAACAAAUUUUGUACUAACGAGUUUUUUUGUUAUUGUCUUUUCCUGUACAUGUCUAGGGUUAGGAUCCGAAUACAACACAAGUAAUUGUCUUUUGUCUUCUUCUUUUGUUUUAGGUAUGCCCUUCUCAUUACCGAGCUCCUUGGCUCUACAAGGAAGGGUGUUCACUUGUGGAGUGUUCUCUUUCGAGAUUCGAUCAUAGAGGCUAUUGCUCUGUGAAUCACAGAGAAUUAGCUACAGUCUUUUCACAUCAAGGUAGGCUACAUCGCUGCUUUUUAUUUAACCAUUUGCAUCUUUUACUUUUUGUAUUCACCAAAUAUAUAUUUUGUGCCUCAUAAGAUGGGUGUUUUAUAUUUUUUUUGUGUCUACUUUCAAUAUUAAAGGUAGAUAUGAGAAUAAAAAUGGUUAAAUACAAAAAUUUGUGAACAAUUUUAUAUAAGACAAUAAUAAAUACUACAUAAAUAUGAAUUUUUUUGUAACAUCUAAUUCAUACAUGUGUUGACACUAACUAAAUGACAGUAAUUAAUUCAUUCAAACAUAUAUGUAACAUCAAUAAUUUACAAUAAAUUCAAAACCAUUUAACCUAAAUCUACUUCUAUAUAUAUUUAAAAACUUUCCUUCUCUUGAUCAAACUCAAACUAAACUAAACAAACUAAAAAUUUCACCACCACAAGUCUCAUAUAUUUUAUUGUAUAUAAUAAACUAAGGUUUUUGAAAAUAAGCUUUAAAAAGCUGACAUUUGGCACUCUAUUCUUUUGACAUGUGUCUUAUAUAAUUUUAGUGUAAGAAAUAUAUUCAAUUAAUUUUUGAGAUCAAUAAUCAAAUCAUUCCAUGAUCAAAGAAAUAAUUAAAAGCUAUUUUUAAUUUUGUAUUAUUUUGAAUUUUGUAGGAUUAAUUUGCAUUUUUUGAAGAUGAAUGGUAAAGUUGCAAAAAUGGGCGAGUUGGAGGGUUUUUUUUUUUGCACAAAACCCUUGUGUGUAUAUAUAUAUAUAUAUAUAUAUAGAUAGAUAGGGCAAUUUUCAAAAAUACCAUGCUUAACUUUUUGUUUUCUAUAGAUACUACUUAAGUUUUAGUUUUUCAAAAAUACCACUUAAGCUUUAAUUUUUCAAAAAUACUAUAAAAUAAACUAAAAUUUAACUUUCAACUUUCAAAAUUAAAACUUAAACAUUAAACCCUACACUUUAAAAAUUAUACUAUUUUUGGAAUACCAACACUUUCGGUGGUAUUUUUUGGAACAACAAACUAAUAGUUAUAUUUUCUUAAACAAAACUUGAAAGUAUGGUAUUUUUAAGAAUUUCAAGGUAUAAUAGGAUGUAAAGAUAAAUCAUGCAAUUGAUACAAAUUUGAUGUACAUAAAUCAAAGUAUCAUUUUGAUAGAAGCAUGAGUUUUUUAAAGCGCGCCUUGUUGGAAAAUAAUACACAAAUUAUAAUAGUUAAUUUUUAUGUGACCUUCUCACUGACAUGAUGGAAAUUUGGUCCUUGAUUUUGUCCUUGUUGCAAUGGUUCAAGUCUAAGAUUUAUACCAACUACUAGAUUUUAAUCCGCGGUACACUGCGGAAUGAUUUAUUUUUAAAGUUAGUAUAAAAAUAUUUUGAAAUUAUAUCUUCUUAUAAAAUAUCUAUUUAUAUUAUAGUUUACAAUUUUUAUUAAGUAUCGGUAUACCACGAGUCCACAAGACAAUAGAUAAUAAACUGAGGAUUUAACCCGUAUUAAACGGCAUGUUAAUGAUAUUUAUAAAUAUUGAUUCAAAUUCGUCCGCCAUAUAAACUCGUUCCGAAAUAUAACCCGUUUCCUAAUUUCUUAACCCGUCCCGUGAUUUGUUUUUAUUUUAAAAUUUAAUGAUUAUUUAUUAUAUAUAAAAUUUUACAAAUCAUAUCAUUCUCUAAGAAAUUUAUAUUUUAAUAAACCGGAGAUUUAAUCUGUAUUAAAGCGGCAUGUUAAUGAUAUUUUAAAAUUUUAUAAAUAUUGAUUCAAACUCGUCCUCCAUAUAACUUCGUUCUGAAAUAUAACCCGUCCUGUAACAUCUUAACUCGUCCCGUGAUUUUUUUUCUAAAAGUAGUAAUUUUAAAAAUUUAAAGAUUAUUUAUUAUAUAUAAAAGUUUGAAAAUUAUAUCAUUUUCUAAGAUAUUUAUAUUUUAUAGUUUACAAUUGUUAUUAAGUAACAUUAUACCACGGGAAUUUUUUUGGUUUUAUACAAUAUUUUCUAAAUGAGACUGAUUUAAUAUGUCUAAUAUUGGUGGUAUUAAAAAAAAAACUUAAGGAUUUAAUCCGUAUUGAAGCGGCGGAUUAAUGAUAUUUUAAUCUUUUAUUAUUGUUGAUUCAAAAACCUGUCCCGCCAAACUCGUCCGGCCAAAAAAAUCAUUUAUUUUAUUAAUGUAUCUUAUUUAUGAUAUGAUUCUGAAUCAUUGUCUAAAUAUUUUAAUCGAUGUAGAACGUGGAACACACAUUUUCGUUAAUUAGAUAAUAUAUGUCCGUUUUUAAAAUUUCGAAUCAUAAUAUAUGCAGAAAAAAAUUGAUUUUUGUUUUUACUUUAUGUAUUAUAUGAUGAUUCAAAACAGUUAAAAACAAAUCAAACAAAGAUGAUAGGAGAAUAAUAAUUCUAAAUCUUAAUCAAAUCUUCUAAAUAUAUAAUUAUUAAAUAUGGAAUAUCUGGUGUAUGAGCUGAGUUAAAUAUAAGCCGACCCAACAAAUUUUUUAUGACCAAAAUUUGUAAACGGGUCGGGUAUCCAAAUAACCCGUGAAUAUUUUUACCCACCCGUCACCAAAAUGACUGCAAAAAUACUAGUAUAGAUAUUCGCUUAAUUUGAUAUUUUACUGUUAACAUUACUUUUGGUACAUUGAAUUACCCUUUUUUCCCCAACAAACAACAUUGAAUUAGUCUUUACAUUUUAUAAGUUAAAACUAUUCCAAAAGACCAAGGAAAUUCGAAAAUAACCAACACUGUACACGUAAAAAAAUUAUAUUAUCUAGCUAUAGCAAUCGAUUUAAAAUAAAAACAGAAGUUUACAUAGAAGACUUGUUCGUGUUUGUUGUAAUUUUUUUAAUAUCAAGGCUGAUUAAGCAAGUCUUCCGAUAAACAUAAACUUGACGCAGUCAUAAAUACCUUACAUAAAGUAUGCUCUAAUUUUACUUACGUCAUAACAGACUUGCAUAUGUUGUAUUUUUAUUAGGGCUGGGCCGGAUUCGGAUAUCCGGCUUUUUUAGGGUAUCCAGAUCCGGAUCCGGAUCCGGCCGGAUCCGCCUUUUCAUUAUCCGGAUCCGGAUCCGUUCCACCCGGAUAUCCGGAUUUCGGAUAUCUGUAAAAAGAGCCUGAUAUCCGCCGGAUAUCCGGAUCCGGAUUUUUUUUAUAUAAUUUUUUUAUUAAUAUAAAAUUUCAAGAAAAAUAUUUAAAAACAAAUAAUUUAAUAUAAAUAAUUAAAAAUAUUAUUAAAAAAAUAUUAUUCUUAUAUAAAAUAAUAGAAUUUAUUAAUAAAAUUUAAAUAAUAGUAAUAAAAUAUUAAAAAUAUUAUUAUUAUAUAAAAUAUCCCGGAUCCGGAUAUCCGGCUUUAAAUUUUCUAUUAUCCGGAUCCGGAUCCGGCCGGAUCCGCUUUUUCAUUAUCCGGAUCCGGAUCCGCCCCACCCGGAUAUCCUAUUUUUCGGAGCGGAUCGGAGCGGAUCCCGGAUAAUUGGUCUCACCCCUAAUUUUUAUCUAUGAUAUAUCUAGAAGACAAAGAUAUAAAUCUGUCAUAAAUCUGCUAAACUAUAUUUUGUAAAAGCUUUAUCUUUUUUUCUUCUGAAAAAUGAAACAUUUGUUUGGCUUCAUGUAUAUAAUGUUUGGAUGGCAGUUUUGUAGAUACUGACAAGUUGACUAAUAAUAGUUUUAGUUUGUCAAAAAAUGUUAUUAGAAAAAAUAGUAAAAAAUAAGACAUUAUUUUUUUUUUUGCCAUGAAGUUCGAACCUAGAUAGUAAUCGUGGACCCAAAAAUAGUCUUUAGGACUUGAUUGGUUCUCCUGCUAGCACCCUGCUAGCGGUUGCUAGCGGUCGGUUGCAGUUGUUAGCAGUUUGGUAACAAUCAUAGAAAUCGUUCCGUACCGUUUCGAACUGCUCGAAAUCGCUGAAUUUUAAAAGGUUCUUCCCGCAAGCAUUUGCGGUUGUGGGCGGUAGCGGUUGAAUUUUAAAAAAAUUAAAAAAAAUAAAAAAUUAAACGUUUACUUAUAAUUAUUAUAAUAUAUAUUAAUCCUAGAGUAAAUUUGGGAAAAUCCCUUUUUUUUGUUUACACUUUUGAAAAAUACAUUUUCUUUAAUUUCUUUUAAAAACUAUUUUAAAAUAUGUAAAGUUACUAAAAUUUAUUUAAACUUAAUAACAAUUAAUCAAAAUAUCUAUAUUUUAAAUAGAACAUCAAUUUAUUGAUAAUAAUUAAAAUUAAUUUUUACAAAAAUUUUAUAUAACUAACAAUUCCGAAAAUUUACUAUCAUAAAUUAUUUUUUAAACAAUAAUAAAUAACAACAUUCUACCGAUAUUAAGUCAUGAUUUUUGUGAAGUCAUAUGGUAUUGUUUUGAUGUAGAAAACAUAUAAAAUACUUUAUUUCACACAAAAAAAAUCAAAGAGAAUCAUUGAAUUGAAGCAAAGUUUUGUGAUAUGUUAAGUUGAAAAAUGUGCUUGGAGUGUUGGAGAUUAUUUUACUUUAUAUAACAUGAAAAAUAUUUAGUGAAAGAUUUUAUAAUAUUUUAGAUGUUAUCUUGUUAAAUUUAAAUAUAUAAAAUUAAUUAACCAUCUUUGUGUUAAAAAUAUAUAUAAUUCGUAUUAAUAUUGAAUUUUUUUUCUCUAAAUUUUGAAUUUAGUUUUGAUUUAUUAAAAAUGUAGCUUUAAAUUUAAGUUAAUACCAAACUAUCAUUUUUAUAUAUAAAAGAUUGUAGUUUUCAUUAAAAAUAGGAAAAAGGGGUAUUUUCAAAGUAUAACUCAAAAACAUGGUAUUUUUCAAAAUGACCCUUAAUCCUAUAUAUAUCUUUCAUCUUUGCAUCACGUUCUCAUCAGAAACCCUAAUCAAUAUUAUGAAACCCUAUUCGCUCAACGUCUUCCACCCAAACUGAUGAAAAUCAAGAACCAAACGUAAGUAUCAUAUAUCCUUUUAUUCAUUCAUCACCUCAUGUGUAACUCUUUGAAUAUUUUUCAUGACAUCGUUUUUUUGCUUUUCAUUAUGUAUUGUUUUAUUUUUUGAUUGAAUAUAUGUUUCGAUUUAUUUUCUCGAAUAGAAACUCACUUGCUUUUUUAUUGAAUUCAACGUUAUUUACAGUUUGUCCCAUUACUUGAUGCAAUUUUUGAUGUUAAACAAGAUGCAUAAAGUACUAUCUUGUUACAAAAUUUCUUUAUUUUUGAAUAAUUAUUUAGUACUUUAUUUAUGAUUUUAAUUAUUAAGUAUGUUUAAUUUUUCUAAUAUUAUCAUAAUAAUAUACUGGUGUUUUUAUUUUAUUUUUUGUAAUAUUUUUUAUUUAGUUUGGUCAUUUUUCAUUUAACUGCUACCGCACCCGCUGGUUUACUAGUCAUAAAACUCCCGCAAAUGUAUCUAUUUUCAAACGCUAAACCAGUCGUUCAAAACGUUUGGUAAUGCUUGAAGCCGCAACCGUCCGCUUCCGCAAACUCCCGCAACCGCAACCGCAACAGCUGCGUUUAAACCAGUCAGGCCAUAGUUUAUUUCUUUCGGAAAUAUUCCUUUUCGCAAGUGAAGUGAUACUAGGAUUUUUUUUUCUCUUACGGAAACCACUAGAUCAAGAACCAGUUUGGUGCAUUUAUAACGAUAGCAUAACAGCUGCAAAUUAUCGUACUUUGUCACCAUUCACAUAUACUAGUGUAGGCGAUCGAACACCCUAGAUGAUGAAAAUGCCCUUUGAUCAAACUAGAAGAAAAAUGAUGAGAGGAGAAGGAGAUGUUCAAGUUUGUUAUGUUUGAGAUGUUUCACUUUCACUCAUAGCACAAAAGAUAAUUUUCGUUUCACUACUAAAAGAAUUUUUUUUACUUUUUUUAGAACUAUCAUAUAUUGACAAGUUUUUUGAACUAAAUAAUUCUUGUAGAAAAAACCUUGUUUAUUACUCAAAGUACUAAAAAAAUUAGCACAUCUUUGUUAGUCAUUAUGAAUCAGUAGAAGCUUAAAAAGCCUAUAUUUAGUAGUAUUAUUGAGAUCCAUGUCAGCCAUUCCAUGUUAUAAGUUUUUGAAUGUAACUAUGAGUUCUCUGAUUUGGGGAAAAUAUGGCUUCUUUGACAUUUUAAUUAAACUACCAUUUGUUGUAGUGGAAAUAGUCGUGUCUCGUAUCUAGGAAACUUCUUGACUCUAGAAGGUGAUUCAAAGAUAACACUAUUAUAAAUCAAUAUAAUCUAUGGGUAUGGUUUUGCGUAUAUAGUCAUGCAAAUCCAAUUUUAAUUAAAGAUAGAUUAAGUUAUCGAUAGACUUGUUAAACGAUUUUGAACUACCUCUUUGAAACAUGCGGCGAAUUACAAAUUUAUAGAAUAUCUUUGGACCACGUCAAAUAUGACAUGCGCUUUUGUCCUAUAAAUACUGAGCUCAAAUGCUUCACAAUUCACAAGCAACACACACAUUUAUAAAAAUCUUUAAAAAGCAUUAGCAUUAGCUUUUCUUUGAAAAUGAGGGUUCCCAUGUCUCUCGUCUUGAUUACCAUAUCGGCUUUGGUCAUUUCCUUUGGCGAAGCUUCUGAUCCAAGUCCACUUCAAGACUUCUGUGUGGCCAUUAGUGACCUCAAAAAUGGUGGUAAGUUUAAAACUCGAAUUCUUGAACUCUCAACUAAUUAUUAUUCUCCUUUAUUAUUUUGUAAAUUGGAAGUUGUAAUAAAAAGUUUUUCUAAUUAAUUUUUCUACUUGCAGUUUUUGUGAAUGGUAAGUUCUGCAAGGAUCCGAAGCAAGCGAAGGCAGAAGAUUUCUUCUACUCAGGCCUCAACCAGGCAGGGACCACUAAUAAUAGAGUCAAAUCCAACGUGACAACGGUCAAUGUCGACCAGAUUCCAGGGUUAAACACUUUGGGAAUAUCCUUGGUCCGCAUAGACUAUGCACCUUAUGGACAAAACCCACCUCACACGCACCCUCGUGCCACUGAGAUCCUUGUUCUUGUCGAGGGAACAUUAUAUGUUGGUUUUGUCUCUUCCAAUCAAGACAAUAACCGUUUAUUCACCAAAGUGCUGAACCCCGGCGACGUGUUCGUGUUCCCCAUAGGAAUGAUCCAUUUUCAAGUGAAUAUCGGGAAGACCCCAGCAGUGGCUUUUGCUGGACUAAGUAGUCAGAACGCUGGUGUUAUCACGAUCGCAGACACUGUGUUCGGGUCAACGCCCCCGAUUAAUCCAGAUAUUCUCGCUCAGGCGUUUCAGUUAGAUGUCAAUGUUGUCAAGGAUCUUGAAGCCAAGUUUAAAAACUAAAUCUAGUCACCAACAAUACGAGUGUUUAUCGUUUUAAUUCUUAAGUAAUGAUGUAUCACGAAUUAAAGGUUUAUGCUUAAUAAAAUAAAAAGGUGUUUAUUACCUGAUUUGAUAUUUAAUAUUAAAUUUCUUUUUCUUAUAUAUAACUCUGUCUUACAACUUUUUAAAUGUUGGGGUAUUAAAAUUUUCUUGGAUAUUCAAUAAGUCUUUAAGAGUUGUUAGAAUGAUUAAAAAAAAAAAAUGUACAAGCCAUCAGAUUAUAUAUAGAUAGGGUAAUUAUCAAAAAUAACACGCUUAACUUUUUGUUUUCUAUAAAUACCACUUAAGUUUUUGUAUUUCAAAAAUACCACUUAAAUUUUGUUUUUUCAAAAAUACCAUAAAAUAACUAAAAUUUAACUUUCAAAAUUCAAAAUUAAAACUUAAACAUUAAACCCUACACUUUUAAAAUUAUACUAUUUUUGGAAUACAACCACUUUCGUCGGUAUUUUUGAAACAUCAAACUAAUAGUUAUAUUUUCUGAAACAAAACUUGAAGGUAUGGUAUUUUUAAGAAUUGCAAGGUAUAAUAGGAUGUAAAGAUAAACCAUGCAAUUGAUACAAAUUGGAUGUAAAUAAAUUAUAAGAUAGAAGCAUGAGUUUUAUAAAGUGUGUCUUGUUGGAAAAAUAUACACACUAAUAAUAAUAGUUGAUUUUUCAAUCAUCAGUUUUCUAUUUUCGUUGAUUUAAAGCAUGAACUCUGCACAUGAUGAUUAAAAUGCUUAAUUUUAUGUUGAUUUUCAAUUUAAUCAUGAAUUUUCGUUGACAAAAGCCAAUUAAAGCACAAAAUCGAAAUCGAAAAAAAAAUCUUGAUGAGAAACUAAGAUUAAAUCGGGAUUUGUGAAAAAAUCCAGAAGAUUAAAGAGGAAAUCGAGAGAAUUUUUAAUUUGAAAAUUCUAAUUUUGAUAUCAAUUUUCUUAUUUCGAUACCGAUAUUGUGCCUCAAUUGGCUUUGUCAACGAAAAUUCGUGAUUAAAUUGAAAGUCAACAUAAAAUUAAGCAUUUUAAUCACCAGGUACAGAAUUCAUGCUUUAAAUCAACGAAAUUGAACAACUUAUGAUUUAAAUGACAUUUUUCCCAUUGAUUUUUAUGUGACCUUCUCACAGACAAGAUGGAAAUUUGGUCCUUGAUUUUGUCCUUGUUUCACUGGUUCAAGACUAAGAUUUAUACCAACAAUAUUCGCUUAAUUUGAUAUUUUACUAUUAACAUUACUUUAGGUACAUUGAAUUACCCUUUUUUACCCAACAAACAAUAUUGAAUUAGUCUUUACAUUUUAUUUUUUUUGUCAAACAGUCUUUACAUUUUAUAAGUUAAAUCUAUUCCAAAAGACCAAGGAAAUUCGAAAAUAACCAACACUGUACACGUAAAAAAGAAAUAUAUUUUCUAGAUAUAGCAGUCAAUCUAAAAUAAACGCAAACGUUUACAUAGAAGACUUGUUCGUGUUUGUUGUGAUUUUUAAUAUCAAGGCUAAUUAAGCAAGUCUUCCAGUAAACGUAAACUUGACGUAGUCAUAAAUACCUUACAUAAAGUAUGCUCUAAUUUUACCUACGUCAUAACAGAUUUGCAAAAGAUGUUGUAUCUCUCUCUAUCUAAGAGAUAUCUAGAAGACAAAGAUAUAAAUAUCUGACAUAAAUCUGCUAAAAUAUCUUUUAUAUAAGAUUAAUUUCUUUUUUUUCAGAAAAUAAAAUAUUUGUUUGGCUUCAUGUAUAUAAUGUUUGGAUGGCGGUUUUGUAGAUACUGACAAGUUGACUAAUAAUAAUUUUAGUUAUUGUCAAAAUAAAAAGUUAUUAGAAAAUAGUGAAAAACAAGACAUCUUUUAAUUUUUUUGUCAUGAAGUUCGAACCUAGACUCUAGUAUUCGUGGAUCCAAAAAUAGUCUUUAGUCUAUCUUUCGGAAAUAUUCCUUUUCGCAAGUGAACUCAUACUAGGAUUCUUUUCUCUUACGGAAACCACUAGAUCAAGAACCAACCAGUUUGGUGCCUUUAUAACGAUGGCAUAACGGCUGCAAAUUAUCGUACUUUGUCACCAUUCACAUAUACUAGUGUAGGCGAUCGAACACCCUAGAUUUACUAUGUUUGAGAUGUUUCUAUUAGGAAUGUGGCCUAAUUUAAUUCAAAUGCUAGCUCAAGAGUUAAGGAUUGCUACAUCCUAUAUAUAUUGCCCAAAUAUCUUAAUCCCAAGCAAUGUGGGACAUUCUAAUAGGCCUCCUCGAGAUGUGGGUAGGAAACGGUCCAACGGAAAACAGCCCAAGCCCAACAUCUCGGAAAUACAACAAGACAUGCCACUUAUAUGGGCCACAUAGGUGGAAAAACAUUUUGCUUAGAUUAAGAUCUUUGGGUAGUAUAUAAAGGAUGUGACAAUCCUUAACUCUUGAGCUAGCUUUUAGGUUAAGUUAGGUUAUAUUCCUAAUAGUUUCACUUUCACUCAUAGCACAAAAGAUAAUUUUCGUUUCACUACUAAAAGAAAAAAUUUAACUUUUUUUUAGAACUAUCGUACAUUGACAAGUUUUAUUUAACUAAACAAUUCUUGUCGAAAAAACCUUGUUUAUUACUCAAAGUACUAAAAAAACUAGCACAUGUUUGUUAGUCAUUAUGAAUCAAUAGAAGCUUAACAAGCCUAUAUAUUUAGUAGUAUUAUUGAGAUCCAUGUCAGCCAUUCCAUGUUAACUUUUUGAAUGUAACUAUGAGUUCUCUGAUUUGGGAAAAAUACGGCUUCUAAGCCUUGUUAAUUAAACUACCAUUUGUUGCAGUGGAAAUAGUCGUGUCUCGUAUGUAGGAAACUUCUUGACUCUAGAAGUUGAUUUAAAGAUAACACUAUUAUAAAUCAAUAUAAGCUAUGGCUAUGGUUUUGACUUUUGCGUAUGAAGUCAUGCAUGCAAAUCCAAUUUUAAAUUAAAGAUAUAUAGAUUAAGUUAUCGAUAGACUUGUUAAACGUUUUUGAACUGCCACUUUGAAACAUGCGAAUUACAAAUUUAUAGAAAUAUCUUUGGACCACGUCAAAUAUGACAUGCGCUUUUGUCCUAUAAAUACUGAGCUCAAAUGCUUCACAAUUCACAACCAACACACACAAUUAUAAAAGUCUUUUAAAAGCAUUAGCAUAACCUUUUCUUUGAAAAUGAGGGUUCCCAUGUCUCUCGUCUUGAUUACCAUAUCAGCUUUGGUCAUUUCCUUUGCCGAAGCUUCUGAUCCAAGUCCACUUCAAGACUUCUGCGUGGCCAUUGGUGACCUCAAAAAUGGUGGUAAGUAUAAAACUCAAAUUCUUGAACUCUCAACUAAUUAUUAUUCUCCUUUAUUAUUUUGUAAGUUCGAUUCUCUUCAACUAAAUUAUUACUCUCAAUAUUUGUACUUGCAGUUUUUGUGAAUGGUAAGUUCUGUAAGGAUCCGAAGCAAGCGAAGGCAGAAGAUUUCUUCUUUGCAGGCCUCAACAAGGCAGGAAACACUACCAAUAGAGUCAAAUCCAACGUGACAACGGUCAAUGUCGACCAGAUUCCCGGGUUAAACACAUUGGGAAUAUCCUUGGUCCGCAUAGACUAUGCGCCUUAUGGACAAAACCCGCCUCACACGCACCCUCGUGCCACUGAGAUCCUUGUUCUUGUCGAGGGAACAUUAUAUGUAGGUUUUGUCUCUUCCAAUCAAGACAAUAACCGUUU